CUCAGCUGCUGGAAUCCAGUCGUCAUCUGAGAAUUUCAGCUUUCUUUGAAGAAAAAAAAAGGAACGGUACAAAACCUUUUGAUCCUGAAGGUGUAUUAGGCACAAUCAGCUCAGUGGUGAUGGUUUUCUUUGGACUUCAGGUGUCCCCGCUGAUGCUCAAGUAUUGGGAAGUGGGAAGAGAGCCAUGGCGGGG
Molecule: non-coding RNA, 193 nt
Organism: Pelodiscus sinensis (Chinese soft-shelled turtle)
Lineage: Eukaryota; Metazoa; Chordata; Testudines; Trionychidae
Source: RefSeq, a predicted model, not a curated record